AUGGCUCAGGAUGAACGCUGGCGGCGUGCCUAACACAUGCAAGUCGAACGGAGCUUAUUUUUGGAGACUUCGGUCAAAGAAGCUUAAGCUAGUGGCGGACGGGUGAGUAACGCGUGGAGAACCUGCCCUGUACUGGGGGAUAACAGUUGGAAACAGCUGCUAAUACCGCAUAAGCGCACGGAGCCGCAUGGCUCAGUGUGAAAAACUCCGGUGGUACAGGAUGGCUCCGCGUUGGAUUAGCCAGUUGGCGGGGUAACGGCCCACCAAAGCGACGAUCCAUAGCCGGCCUGAGAGGGUGAACGGCCACAUUGGGACUGAGACACGGCCCAGACUCCUACGGGAGGCAGCAGUGGGGAAUAUUGCACAAUGGGGGAAACCCUGAUGCCAGCGACGCCGCGUGAAGGAAGAAGUAUCUCGGUAUGUAAACUUCUAUCAGCAGGGAAGAUGAUGACGGUACCUGACUAAGAAGCCCCGGCUAACUACGUGCCAGCCGCCGC
Molecule: ribosomal RNA, 497 nt
Filed under: uncultured bacterium
Lineage: Bacteria
Description: bacterial SSU rRNA
Rfam family: Bacterial small subunit ribosomal RNA
Source: RNAcentral